RNAcentral lists this ribosomal RNA (452 nucleotides) under uncultured bacterium. RNAcentral's name for it is "bacterial SSU rRNA". It matches the Rfam family "Bacterial small subunit ribosomal RNA", at positions 354 to 796 of the family's 1533-position model. The record is from RNAcentral.
GUGGGGAAUAUUGGACAAUGGGCGAAAGCCUGAUCCAGCGACGCCGCGUGGGCGAUGAAGGCCUUCGGGUCGUAAAGCCCUGUCGGGUGGAACGAAGUGCCGCCGGGAAUAAUACCCCGGUGUCUUGACGGUACCGCCAAAGGAAGCACCGGCUAACUCUGUGCCAGCAGCCGCGGUAAGACAGAGGGUGCAAGCGUUGUUCGGAAUUAUUGGGCGUAAAGCGCGUGUAGGUUGCCUUGUGUGUCAGGUGUGAAAUCCCCGGGCUCAACCCGGGACGCGCACUUGAAACUGCAGGGCUGGAGUGCGAGAGAGGGAAGCGGAAUUCCCGGUGUAGAAGUGAAAUUCGUAGAUAUCGGGAGGAACACCAGUGGCGAAGGCGGCUUCCUGGAUCGCAACUGACACUGAGACGCGAAAGCGUGGGUAGCAAACAGGAUUAGAAACCCCUGUAGUCC